UGGAAAGGUCUUUUUGGAGUAUGCUGAUGUGGAGAGUUCUUCGAGAGCUCAACAAGGAUUGAAUGGCAGAAAAUUCGGAGGAAAUGAAGUUGUUGCUGUCUUUUAUUCAGAGAACAAGUUCUCCGAGGGAGACUAUGAGGGCUAGGGUAGGUAGUAUCUGCUCGACUGGCCUUGAGUGUACUCAGCCAGACAAUGUCUUGUAUUGAAUAGCUAGCUUAUGUAUCAUUAACGUUGAAAAUGUUGGGUCGGUCUGGGGAUUUUAUGAACCAGCUAUAAGACUGGCUGCUACUUAGAUAGCAAUAGUGCAGUUUGCCUAGUCAAAGAGGCAUCGCGUGUUUUGCCCGUGCAUGGCUUUACUUACAGUUAGCCUGGUCUUUGCAUUGUUACUUACUGACAUGGAUAUCGUUAACCAUCUCGAUGUUUUCUCUAUCUAGA
This 435-nucleotide unclassified non-coding RNA is filed under the name Hevea brasiliensis (rubber tree). Lineage: Eukaryota; Viridiplantae; Streptophyta; Magnoliopsida; Malpighiales; Euphorbiaceae. The record is from RNAcentral.